UUUUAGUACAUCGUUUGGGUUUCCAAAUACACCACAUUAUAUUAUAAGCCGUUCAACUUCAAGAAAUCAAUCGAUUUUCAAUUACUGUGUGCAUUGAGUGUAUUGUAUAGCUUUUUUGGAAAAUGCAUAUAACCUCUAAGAUUUCUAUCUUAUGCAUAAUACUGGCCGUAUGUCUUGCUGCACUGCCGACUAGUGCUAGUCCACCGGCUAAUCAAUCUAGCAUAGUGGCUAGUGAUUUGCCCGGCGUGACCACAACGUUCACAGACAAAAAUGGUUACACUGUCACACAUGUAAAGAAAGAAUAUGUUGAUAACCGACCCGGACAAACGUUCAAUGUAUCCGUGAUCGAAAUAACCAAACGGUUGCCAGAUGGUGGCCCGAAAAGUAUAAGAUAAGAACUUAGAUUCGGCCUACAUCCGUUCAAAAACCAUUGGAAAUCGGUCGUUAUUUUUUUUUUUUAAUAAACUGCAUGUAAUCCGUGUAACGAUUUGAUAUUGUUUUUUUGUUAAUUUGUUGAUAAUUUAAUAAAUACCAAAUGUAUACUCUCUGUAUACUCAUA
This is a long non-coding RNA of Adelges cooleyi (spruce gall adelgid), 559 nucleotides long. RefSeq lists it as uncharacterized. The transcript is spliced from 2 exons. The record is from RefSeq and is a predicted model, not a curated record. NCBI's taxonomy places the organism in Eukaryota, Metazoa, Arthropoda, Insecta, Hemiptera, Adelgidae.